This 91-nucleotide transfer RNA is filed under the name Tilletia horrida. RNAcentral's name for it is "tRNA-Met". It matches the Rfam family "tRNA". Rfam says of the family: Transfer RNA (tRNA) molecules are approximately 80 nucleotides in length. Their secondary structure includes four short double-helical elements and three loops (D, anti-codon, and T loops). The record is from RNAcentral. Lineage: Eukaryota; Fungi; Basidiomycota; Exobasidiomycetes; Tilletiales; Tilletiaceae.
GUUCUCGUGGCUCAGUUGGUUAGAGUGCGGGAUUCAUAGCCCUGCCUGGUCGGUUACCCCGAGGUCGCGAGUUCGAGCCUCGCCGAGAACA